UGAGGAAUAUUGGUCAAUGGGCGAGAGCCUGAACCAGCCAAGUCGCGUGAGGGAAGACGGUCCUAUGGAUUGUAAACCUCUUUUGCCGGGGAGCAAAGAGCGGCACGUGUGCCGCGCCGAGAGUACCCGGAGAAAAAGCAUCGGCUAACUCCGUGCCAGCAGCCGCGGUAAUACGGAGGAUGCGAGCGUUAUCCGGAUUUAUUGGGUUUAAAGGGUGCGCAGGCGGCGCGUUAAGUCAGCGGUAAAAUUUCGGGGCUUAACCCCGCACGAGCCGUUGAAACUGGCGUGCUAGAGUGGGCGAGAAGUAUGCGGAAUGCGUGGUGUAGCGGUGAAAUGCAUAGAUAUCACGCAGAACUCCGAUUGCGAAGGCAGCAUACCGGCGCCCAACUGACGCUCAUGCACGAAAGCGUGGGGAGCAAAUAGGAUUAGAUACC
Molecule: ribosomal RNA, 434 nt
Filed under: uncultured bacterium
Lineage: Bacteria
Description: bacterial SSU rRNA
Rfam family: Bacterial small subunit ribosomal RNA
Source: RNAcentral